AGCUAUAUCACAUUGAAACACAAGUUCUCUUACGGUCACUGAAGUUAAGCAACGUCGAGCCUGGUCAGUACCUAGAUGAGUGACCACUCGGGUAUACCAGAUGCU
This is a non-coding RNA of Acanthosepion pharaonis, 105 nucleotides long. The record is from the annotation of a GenBank genome assembly. Lineage: Eukaryota; Metazoa; Mollusca; Cephalopoda; Sepiida; Sepiidae.